RNAcentral lists this ribosomal RNA (747 nucleotides) under uncultured bacterium. Its description in RNAcentral is "bacterial SSU rRNA". It matches the Rfam family "Bacterial small subunit ribosomal RNA", at positions 54 to 790 of the family's 1533-position model. The record is from RNAcentral.
CAUGCAAGUCGAGGGGCAGCAUGAUUGAAGCUUGCUUCAAUUGAUGGCGACCGGCGCACGGGUGAGUAACGCGUAUCCAACCUUCCGCUUACUCGGGGAUAGCCUUUCGAAAGAAAGAUUAAUACCCGAUGGUAUGAUGAGAUUGCAUGAUAGCAUCAUUAAAGAUUUAUUGGUAAGCGAUGGGGAUGCGUUCCAUUAGGUAGUAGGCGGGGUAACGGCCCACCUAGCCGACGACGGAUAGGGGUUCUGAGAGGAAGGUCCCCCACAUUGGAACUGAGACACGGUCCAAACUCCUACGGGAGGCAGCAGUGAGGAAUAUUGGUCAAUGGACGAGAGUCUGAACCAGCCAAGUAGCGUGAAGGAUGAAGGUCCUACGGAUUGUAAACUUCUUUUAUAAGGGAAUAAAACCUCCCACGUGUGGGAGCUUGUAUGUACCUUAUGAAUAAGCAUCGGCUAACUCCGUGCCAGCAGCCGCGGUAAUACGGAGGAUGCGAGCGUUAUCCGGAUUUAUUGGGUUUAAAGGGAGCGCAGACGGGUCGUUAAGUCAGCUGUGAAAGUUUGGGGCCCGACCUUAAAAUUGCAGUUGAUACUGGCGUCCUUGAGUGCGGUUGAGGUGUGCGGAAUUCGUGGUGUAGCGGUGAAAUGCUUAGAUAUCACGAAGAACUCCGAUUGCGAAGGCAGCACACUAAGCCGUAACUGACGUUCAUGCUCGAAAGUGUGGGUAUCAAACAGGAUUAGAUACCCUGG